GCAGCGCUGCUCUGAGCAGGGGAUGAGCGUUGCAGCAGGGAGGCAGACAGACGGACAGGACGGACAGGACGGACGGAGACAGGAUGGACAGACGGACAGGGCAGACAGAGAGACAAGAUAGACAGGCCGGACAGGAUGGGCAGGAUGGACAGGAGAGAUAGGCAGGACAGGCAGACAGGAUGGACAGAACGGUCAGGACAGACAGACAAGACAGACAGGACAGACAGACAAGACGGGAUGGACAGGAUGGGCAGGAUGGGUGGGAUGGACAGGGCAGAUAUAGGCAGGAAAGGCAGACAGGAUGGACAGAACGGUCAGGACAGACGGACAAGACGGACAGACAGACAGGAUGGACAGGACGGACAGGACAGAUGGGGUGGACAGGAUGGACAGACAGGACAGACAGACAAGACAGACAGGACGGACAGGAUGGGUGGGAUGGACAGGACAGGUAGGCAGGACAGGCAGACAGGACGGACAGGAGGGACAGGACAGACGGACAGGACGGACAGACAGAGUCAGACAGGAUGGACAGAACGGACAGGACAGAUGGGAUGGACAAGGCAGCCAGACAGGACAGAUGGACAAGACAGACGGGACGGACAGGACGGACAGGGCAGACAGAGAGGCGAGACAGGAUGGACAAGACAGACGGACAGGACAGAUGGACAGAGUCAGGACAGACAGAGGGACGGACAGGACAGCUGGGCAGGACAGACAGAGAGACAAGACAGGCUGGACAGAGGAACGGACAAGACAGACAGGAUGGACGGACAGAGGAACGGACAGGACAGACAGACGGACAGGAUGGACAGGAUGGACAGACAGAGAGACAAGACAGACCAGACAGAGGAACGGUCAGGACAGACGGACAGGAUGGACAGACAGAGAGACAAGACAGGUCGGACAGAGGAACGGACAGGACAGACAGACGGACAGGAUGGACAGGAUGGACAGACAGAUGAGACAGGCAGGACAGACGGACGCACGUUGUGCCCCGGUGCCCUGUGUCCGGGUGGGGACGCUGCCGCCGCCAUCGCUCGGCUCCCGCGGCGCCGAACCAUUCCAUGGUUCUGUGACCUGCAAGGACCUUUCCGAUUGCACCCAUCCAUUCUAUGAUUCUGUGGCCUUCCAGGACCUUUCCAACCCAGCCCAACCAUUCCAUCGUUCUGUGAUCUUUAAGGACCUUUCCAGUCCAAUCCCACUAUUCCAUGGUUCUUUGAUUUUGAAGGACCAUUGUAUGAUUCUGUGACCUUCAAGGACCUUUCCAAUCCAGUCCCACUAUUCCAUGGUUCUGUGAUCUUUAAGGACCUUUCCAAUCCAACCAGACCAUUCCAUGGUUCUGUGACCUUCCAGGACCUUUCCAAUCCAACCUGACCAUUCCAUGGUUCGGUGAUCUUUGAGGACCUUUCCAAUCCAACCUGACCAUUCCAUGGUUCUGUGACCUUCCAGGAUCUUUCCAAUCCAACCUGACCAUUGCGUGGUUCUGUGACCUUCCAGGACCUUUCCAACCCAACCCGACCAUUCCAUGGUUCUGUGACCUUCCAGGACCUUUCCAAUCCAACCCAACCAUUCCAUGCUUCUGUGAUCUUUAAGGACCUUUCCAAUCCAACCCAACCAUUCCAUGCUUCUGUGAUCUUCAAGGACCUUUCCAAUCCAACCUGACCAUUGCGUGGUUCUGUGACCUUCGAGGACCUUUCCAAUCCAACCUGACCAUUCCAUGGUUCUGUGACCUUCCAGGAUCUUUCCAAUCCAACCUGACCAUUGCGUGGUUCUCUGACCUGCAAGGACCUUUCCAAUCCAACCAGACCAUUCCAUGGUUCUGUGAUCUUUAAGGACCUUUCCAAUCCAACCUGACCAUUCCAUGGUUCGGUGAUCUUUAAGGACCUUUCCAAUCCAACCCAAUCAUUCUAUGAUUCUGUGACCUUCAAGGACCUUUCCAAUCCAACC
This is a long non-coding RNA of Numida meleagris (helmeted guineafowl), 1950 nucleotides long. Ensembl annotates it as repetin-like. The record is from Ensembl. NCBI's taxonomy places the organism in Eukaryota, Metazoa, Chordata, Aves, Galliformes, Numididae.